This 468-nucleotide ribosomal RNA is filed under the name uncultured bacterium. Its description in RNAcentral is "partial 16S ribosomal RNA". It matches the Rfam family "Bacterial small subunit ribosomal RNA", at positions 28 to 507 of the family's 1533-position model. The record is from RNAcentral.
GACGAACGCUGGCGGCGUGCUUAACACAUGCAAGUCGAACGGAGAGGCCCUGCUUUUGUGGGGUGCUCGAGUGGCGAACGGGUGAGUAACACGUGAGUAACCUGCCCUUGACUUUGGGAUAACUUCAGGAAACUGUGGCUAAUACCGGAUAGGAGCUCCUGCUGCAUGGUGUGGGUUGGAAAGUUUCGGCGGUUGGGGAUGGACUCGCGGCUUAGCAGCUUGUUGGUGGGGUAGUGGCUUACCAAGGCUUUGACGGGUAGCCGGACUGAGAGGGUGACCGGCCACAUUGGGACUGAGAUAGGGCCCAGACUGCUACGGGAGGAAGCAGUGGGGAAUAUUGCACAAUGGGCGGAAGCCGGAUGCAGCAACGCCGGGUGCGGGAUGACGGCCUUCGGGUUGUAAACCGCUUUCGCCUGUGACGAAGAGUGAGUGACGGUAAUGGGUAAAGAAGCACCGGCUAACUACGUG